GUUCCCACAACGCGUUUCAGCGUUGGGUACACACGGACGCGUUUUGAAUGGCAAUUGGCCACAAGUUGCCGUGACUUGAAAAUUGCGCUUGAACUUGACCGUCGGAAUUGCAUGGGAAACGCGACGCGAAUUUGCCCCUUGCUCCCGUCUUUUAUGCUGCUCGAGUUGUUACGGCUGAUGUCAAUCCUUAUUAUCAUAAAAUUCAGCCCGCUUCUAAUUAAAGGACCGGGGCAGUUAGAAGGCAGUCUUUUUUCACUGAGACAGGGACCGAUCUAGCAGCUCUCUCUAAGAGGACCCGAAUAAGGCCGAUUACCUUCCUUCGGGGGCUGAGGAGGCCGGACAGGCUGGAGGCAUCUGAGGACCCCUCUCCAUGUGAAGGCUGGCCGAGGGUGGACCACCGUCCCCCUGGUGCCAGUGAGAUGACCGCGGCACACAGGAGGAGGCCGAGGCGUGGGAGGAGGAACGAAGAGGAGGAGGAAGCGAUGUUGAAGAGCGAUCUGGGAGCGAGUUGAGCGGGGCUGCUGAUGGC
Conger conger (European conger) is the source of this 529-nucleotide long non-coding RNA. RefSeq lists it as uncharacterized. The transcript is spliced from 3 exons. The record is from RefSeq and is a predicted model, not a curated record. Lineage: Eukaryota; Metazoa; Chordata; Actinopteri; Anguilliformes; Congridae.